RNAcentral lists this ribosomal RNA (901 nucleotides) under uncultured Alcaligenaceae bacterium. Its description in RNAcentral is "bacterial SSU rRNA". It matches the Rfam family "Bacterial small subunit ribosomal RNA", at positions 57 to 954 of the family's 1533-position model. The record is from RNAcentral. Lineage: Bacteria; Pseudomonadati; Pseudomonadota; Betaproteobacteria; Burkholderiales; Alcaligenaceae.
GCAAGUCGAACGGCAGCGCGGACUUCGGUCUGGCGGCGAGUGGCGAACGGGUGAGUAAUGUAUCGGAACGCGCCCAGUAGCGGGGGAUAACUACUCGAAAGAGUAGCUAAUACCGCAUACGCCCUACGGGGGAAAGGGGGGGAUCGCAAGACCUCUCACUAUUGGAGCGGCCGAUAUCGGAUUAGCUAGUUGGUGAGGUAAAGGCUCACCAAGGCGACGAUCCGUAGCUGGUUUGAGAGGACGACCAGCCACACUGGGACUGAGACACGGCCCAGACUCCUACGGGAGGCAGCAGUGGGGAAUUUUGGACAAUGGGGGAAACCCUGAUCCAGCCAUUCCGCGUGUGCGAUGAAGGCCUUCGGGUUGUAAAGCACUUUUGGCAGGAAAGAAAUCGCAUCAAUUAAUACUUGGUGUGGAUGACGGUACCUGCAGAAUAAGCACCGGCUAACUACGUGCCAGCAGCCGCGGUAAUACGUAGGGUGCAAGCGUUAAUCGGAAUUACUGGGCGUAAAGCGUGCGCAGGCGGUUCGGAAAGAGAGGUGUGAAAUCCCAGGGCUCAACCUUGGAACUGCACUUUUAACUACCGAGCUAGAGUAUGUCAGAGGGGGGUGGAAUUCCGCGUGUAGCAGUGAAAUGCGUAGAUAUGCGGAGGAACACCGAUGGCGAAGGCAGCCCCCUGGGAUAAUACUGACGCUCAUGCACGAAAGCGUGGGGAACAAACAGGAUUAGAUACCCUGGUAGUCCACGCCCUAAACGAUGUCAACUAGCUGUUGGGGCCUUCGGGCCUUAGUAGCGCAGCUAACGCGUGAAGUUGACCGCCUGGGGAGUACGGUCGCAAGAUUAAAACUCAAAGGAAUUGACGGGGACCCGCACAAGCGGUGGAUGAUGUGGAUUAAUUCGA